RNAcentral lists this ribosomal RNA (305 nucleotides) under uncultured bacterium. RNAcentral's name for it is "bacterial SSU rRNA". It matches the Rfam family "Bacterial small subunit ribosomal RNA", at positions 333 to 635 of the family's 1533-position model. The record is from RNAcentral.
UGCUCCCUACGGGACGCAGCAGUGAGGAAUAUUGGUCAAUGGCCGAGAGGCUGAACCAGCCAAGUCGCGUGAGGGAUGACGGCCCUACGGGUUGUAAACCUCUUUUGUCGGGGAGCAAGACCCGCCUCGUGCAGGCGGAGCGAGAGUACCCGAAGAAAAAGCAUCGGCUAACUCCGUGCCAGCAGCCGCGGUAAUACGGAGGAUGCGAGCGUUAUCCGGAUUUAUUGGGUUUAAAGGGUGCGUAGGCGGUCCGGAAAGUCAGCGGUAAAAGCCCGGGGCUCAACCCCGGCGAGCCGUUGAAACUG